Molecule: ribosomal RNA, 433 nt
Filed under: uncultured bacterium
Lineage: Bacteria
Description: partial 16S ribosomal RNA
Rfam family: Bacterial small subunit ribosomal RNA
Source: RNAcentral
AACGAACGCUGGCGGCAUGCCUAACACAUGCAAGUCGAACGAGACCUUCGGGUCUAGUGGCGCACGGGUGCGUAACGCGUGGGAACCUGCCCUUAGGUUCGGAAUAACUCCCCGAAAGGGGUGCUAAUACCGGAUAAUGUCUUCGGACCAAAGAUUUAUCGCCUUUGGAUGGGCCCGCGUUGGAUUAGCUAGUUGGUAGGGUAAAAGCCUACCAAGGCGACGAUCCAUAGCUGGUCUGAGAGGAUGAGCAGCCACACUGGGACUGGGACACGGCCCAGACUCAUGGGGGAGGCAGCAGAGGGGAAUAUUGGACAAUGGGGGAAGGCAUGAUCCAGCAAGGCCGCGUGAGUGAUGAAGGCCGUAGGGUUGUAAAGCUCUUUUACCCGGGAUGAUAAUGACAGUACCGGAAGAAUAAGCUCCGGCUAACUCCGUG